AAGGCAUGGUGUGGGCACUUUCACAAUAUCUCUUUGUAUUUUUUCCAUGCUUCAUAAAGUGAUUUAUCAUCCUUCUAGGAGAAAUAAUUUAUAUCAUUCCUUAACCG
Small nucleolar RNA from Arachis duranensis, 107 nucleotides. Lineage: Eukaryota; Viridiplantae; Streptophyta; Magnoliopsida; Fabales; Fabaceae. The record is from RefSeq and is a predicted model, not a curated record.